UGGGCGGUCGCCAAGCGGUAAGGCACCGGUUUUUGGUACCGGCAUUCGAAGGUUCGAAUCCUUCUCGCCCAGCCA
RNAcentral lists this transfer RNA (75 nucleotides) under bacterium. RNAcentral describes it as "tRNA-Gln". It matches the Rfam family "tRNA". Rfam says of the family: Transfer RNA (tRNA) molecules are approximately 80 nucleotides in length. Their secondary structure includes four short double-helical elements and three loops (D, anti-codon, and T loops). Further hydrogen bonds mediate the characteristic L-shaped molecular structure. tRNAs have two regions of fundamental functional importance: the anti-codon, which is responsible for specific mRNA codon recognition, and the 3' end, to which the tRNAs corresponding amino acid is attached (by aminoacyl-tRNA synthetases). tRNAs cope with the degeneracy of the genetic code in two manners: having more than one tRNA (with a specific anti-codon) for a particular amino acid; and 'wobble' base-pairing, i.e. permitting non-standard base-pairing at the 3rd anti-codon position. The record is from RNAcentral.